This 565-nucleotide ribosomal RNA is filed under the name uncultured bacterium. Its description in RNAcentral is "partial 16S ribosomal RNA". It matches the Rfam family "Bacterial small subunit ribosomal RNA", at positions 355 to 913 of the family's 1533-position model. The record is from RNAcentral.
UGGGGAAUUUUGGACAAUGGGCGCAAGCCUGAUCCAGCCAUGCCGCGUGCGGGAAGAAGGCCUUCGGGUUGUAAACCGCUUUUGUCAGGGAAGAAAUCUUCUGAGUUAAUACCUCGGGAGGAUGACGGCACCUGAAGAAUAAGCACCGGCUAACUACGUGCCAGCAGCCGCGGUAAUACGUAGGGUGCAAGCGUUAAUCGGAAUUACUGGGCGUAAAGCGUGCGCAGGCGGUUUUGUAAGACAGAGGUGAAAUCCCCGGGCUCAACCUGGGAACUGCCUUUGUGACUGCAAGGCUUGAGUGCGGCAGAGGGGGAUGGAAUUCCGCGUGUAGCAGUGAAAUGCGUAGAUAUGCGGAGGAACACCGAUGGCGAAGGCAAUCCCCUGGGCCUGCACUGACGCUCAUGCACGAAAGCGUGGGGAGCAAACAGGAUUAGAUACCCUGGUAGUCCACGCCCUAAACGAUGUCAACUGGUUGUUGGGAAGGUUCCUUCUCAGUAACGUAGCUAACGCGUGAAGUUGACCGCCUGGGGAGUACGGCCGCAAGGUUGAAACUUAAAGGAAUUGA